Long non-coding RNA from Dipodomys spectabilis (banner-tailed kangaroo rat), 153 nucleotides. RefSeq lists it as uncharacterized. NCBI's taxonomy places the organism in Eukaryota, Metazoa, Chordata, Mammalia, Rodentia, Heteromyidae. The record is from RefSeq and is a predicted model, not a curated record. The transcript is spliced from 4 exons.
CAAACCCAAUAGAAAAGAAUUCCAGAAGAUUGCCAUGGCAACAGCAAUAGGAUUUGCAAUAAUGGGCUUCAUUGGCUUCUUCGUAAAAUUGAUCCAUAUCCCUAUUAAUAACAUCAUUGUGGGUGAGUGAAUACACUUUGGAGAGGUAUUCCU